This 492-nucleotide ribosomal RNA is filed under the name uncultured bacterium. RNAcentral describes it as "partial 16S ribosomal RNA". It matches the Rfam family "Bacterial small subunit ribosomal RNA", at positions 29 to 507 of the family's 1533-position model. The record is from RNAcentral.
AGUGAACGCUGGCGGUAGGCCUAACACAUGCAAGUCGAACGGCAGCACAGUGAGAGUUUGCGCUUACGGGUGGCGAGUGGCGGACGGGUGAGGAAUACAUCGGAAUCUACUUUUUCGGGGGGGAUAACGUAGGGAAACUUACGCUAAUACAGCAUACGACCUACGGGGGAAAGCAGGGGAUCUUCGGACCUUGCGCGAUUGAAUGAGCCGAUGUCGGAUUAGCUAGUUGGCGGGGUAAAGGCCCACCAAGGCGACGAUCCGUAGCUGGUCUGAGAGGAUGAUCAGCCACACUGGAACUGAGACACGGUCCAGACUCCUACGGGAGGCAGCAGUGGGGAAUAUUGGACAAUGGGCGCAAGCCUGAUCCAGCCAUACCGCGUGGGUGAAGAAGGCCUUCGGGUUGUAAAGCCCUUUUGUUGGGAAAGAAAAGCAGCAGGUUAAUACCCCGCUGUUCUGACGGUACCCAAAGAAUAAGCACCGGCUAACUUCGUG